UUUGGCGGGAGCUCCUUACAUCUGGCCUGCUGGAGAAUGGUCUAAGGGACAAUGGGGGUGUAUCUUUCUAUUGCUAUGAAGGUAAUUAAAAGUAUGAAAGGGGUCUCAUCCUGUAUGCAGCGGGAGCUUUGAGAAGUCUUAAACCCAUUCAAGAGCCUGGGAAAUGCGCUCAGGGGUUAAUGUCACUAACAGAUUGCCUCAGUGAAAGAAGAAUAUGGAAGGAUCCUCACGUCCCUUUGUGCGCCAAUUGUUCGUAUCCACUCCCAGUGUGACUUCACCUCAAUGAAGAAGUAAACGAGGGAACUUGGUUAGACUUUGUUUGUAUGAUGGCGCCGAAACCUGAAGGCUCUCAGCCAAAGUUUCAUUAGGAUUUUUUAAAACGUCAGCCCAUGUCUCCCUCUCACUCCCUCUGGUAAAAUACUCAGCCUAAAUUAUUGUUAAAUUCUUGAUCAACAGUUUGUCAGGUGCUCUCUUUUCUCAGCCCCCUCCAUCCUCCCUGUCUCUGUUUAUCCCUGUGCGUAAAUUACCUUCCCGGUGAGAGGGGUCCGGAACUAAGAGCUGUGUCUCCGUGUUGGUCGGCGUGGCGCUGGCCGUGUGUCAGACACUUGCAGUCAGAGGGCCCCUUUGCUCGGGAUUAUGUUUCAGCCCGGUCAAAACCCCUUAACAUUUAAUACUCCAGCGGCGCGUCGCGGGUGCGCAUGGCAGCCACAGGCCAAACAUAAGUCAGUUUUGAAGUGUUUCAGCCCUGCUAGACUACUCGUAUACACAAACAAUUUCACAGAAUCAUUUCACGUUUCUUGGCGUGCGUAAAAGUUAUGUGAGUAAGACCUGGAGCGCAAAACCCUGGAGACAUCCCCUCUACUGACCCUAUAUUGUUGUGAUGUCGUGUUAAGACAGAAAAUAUUUUUAAUAAACUCAAAUAAAAGGAGGAUAAAGGAAAUUGAUGUAAAUACUUUGGUUAGAGGUCGGGAUUGAAAUGAAAAGGCAACAAGCAUUUGCAGCAUCUAGAGAAGACAUAUCACAAUAAAAAUAAAUGCUCUCUAACGUAGCCCCUGUGAAUCUCCACGUAUUUAUCACUGGCAGCUUUCACAUCCUGUCGUAAUUAUUUUCAUCGAACAGUUGAACUGCCUUGUCAAAUCAUGUAGUUGCGUUCUUGCUUUUACCCAGCUGCGUGCCAGUGCCCUGCAGAUGACACCGUGGGUAAAUGGCAUAGUGAAACCCUGCUGCCACUGGUGCUGGAGCAGCUUCCUUUUGCGAUCAGGCAAACUGAAACACCAGUUGGCAGCGUGUGUGGCUUCUGUGGUCGUUUCUACUGCCUUCGUGUCUGAGUUAAUAGUUCAGAGAUGCCUUUGUGGAGCUGAGGUCGUGAGAACCGAGCGAACUAGUCUGCCUGCGGUCGGGCACUGCGCCAGUCAGUAAAUCCCCGCUGGCAGGCGGAGGUGAGGAGGCGAACACACACACGCGUGGCCGCCAAGAAGCGAACUCUUUUCGGUGUAAACAUGAGGGAUCCUGGGGGGACUCGGAUAAAACACCAAACACUCAAGGAGAUGACUGAGAUAUUUCUAAUUUUAUUAAGAAUUAUUUUAUCAGGAUUUAGGCACGACCACGUGAAAGCUGCUGCGCAAUCCCCGUGGUCAUGGACAUACAGGGCAGUAUGAGGUGACGCACAGAAACCAGCAGCUCACCCUUUUGCACUUUUACGCAUCAGCAUGAGCAAGGGUCAUAGUAUCACUGGGUUUACAGCAAGCUGACCGAAUAUCCAGAUGUGGGUUGGCUGAAUUCUGACUUCUAAAUUUAUUCUUUGCUCAGGGUUUUUAAUAUCUGCCUUCAUCAUCUCGAUAACAUGCAGCAAUCGAAUCAGGCGGGAAUCCCUGUUCGGUGAUGAAAAGGAUUCCUAUAGAUGGCAAGAUGUCCCUCGGGGACUUGCGCCAUUACGUCCCCUGGGAGAAGUCGCCAUUGAAGGAGGGGUAGGGGUCAUCAGAGGAGCCACAAAUUAUCAUUCUCAUUAGCGACUGAAUAGAGGAACGCGCGCACCACGUUGCCGCCAAACCUUUAACAUCACAUCUCCCUCCAAAUUUACAACUGCUAUUGUUGCACUGGGCCUUGUUUUGCCAGCAUUAUAUAAUUCUUAUGCGGCUCCAACAAGGACAUCUGUAUAAGUUUCUGAAAUAAGGAAAUGUAAGAAGUAAUACGCACAACAUGCUUAGUUUUUUCAUAUGCCAGCCAGGCUUUGGUUGAUCUUUACUGAAGUGAAAUAAGGAACUAAUGCAAUUGCUCUGCGUCAUCUGUUUCAGUCAGGUUUAAUGUUAAAAAAUGAUUAUCUCCACAACUUUCGGUUGACAGAUCUUUAACAGCUACCAUACAUUAAAAAGUUCCAGUCACCAAUUUUAUUAUCUUUCCAGGCAAAAGGUUUUUCUCAUUGUUGGUAAAAUUAGCUCAUUUUCAUAUCUUUAUCUGGAUGGUGUGAUUGUUAGAUGCCAGAAAACACUUUUUACAACCAAAGUAAUCAUGUAAUUUUAUCUGAUUAUUUCCAAAUAAUCAGUAAAAAAAUAAGACAGAGAUUAUAUCUUUCAAUCAAUCAACAAGUCAUUAUAUGGACACAUACAGAAGCAGCUACACUGGCAGCUAGUCCUCCAAGUCUGUAUUUAAGUGUAGAAAGGAGGCUUGGAUUGUUUGAGAGCUCCUCUGUCUGUGAUGACAGGCUAUAUUUGCCCCUCAAUCUGAAGAGGCUGCAGCUACAGGGACAGAGUGACAUUUUCUGCAUGCUUUAGCCACAGGUUCUGAUAUUAGAUGAGAGGCAGGGCUAGAGUAUGCAACAAACAUUAAGUGUGUGACAGUUUGUGAGUGACUGCCUAAACUGGACACUUCUCCUUGCACCUGUUUUUUUAAGAAUCGCAGAGGGCGAUAGGGAGAGGCAGCUAAGGAUGACAUGAUACACAGGAGGUGUUGAGACUAAGGAAAGAUGUUAGAGAUGUUUCUCUGGAGUGUGGGAUUUAACUGUGAUUAUUUUAGGCUUUGGUUUUCAGAGAGGAAAUCAUGUUAGCAGCAACAAUACAAACUUAUUUAAUUUUCCUUAGUGUCAUAGCACAUCAGAUUCACUGGCACCUUGUUAACAGGUUUUCAUUUCUAUGUUUGAACACUCUCACUCUUCUGGCCCACUCCAGGCUUCCAUCCUGUCUCAGUAUUUAUAGUAAGAGAGCACUUAUUCCCUGCCGGGUGUGAGGUGUUGGGUGUGUGCAGGUGAGGCAGGGUGGGCAGACGCCACGGGACACAUCAAAUGGGAUCAAAUAUCACAGGGUCUGGGUGCUGUGAGGGCUCCCCCUGAUCCUCACCGCUUGUUUGCCAUAUAUUUCUGUAGCCAAGUUUGGCUUUUCAGCAGCUUCUCCUGUUUCAAGGCAUGAGGCAUGAGGCCUAAGGUCUUUGCAACUGGUGCAGAUUCCACAGGAGAAAGUUAAGGGUCCUCUUGACAGGGCGAGAGGUCAUCUUGCAGACUUCUUGGUGGCCUUAAAGAAGUCCUGACCCUAAUGAAGACAGUUUUUAUUUAUGUAUUUAUCUGCUCAGGACUUGUCCCUGCUUUUCCCCCUGCAGCUCUGGCAGCUGUUGCUCUAUUUCACCUCUCGUCCUUUCCAAGAUAAAUACUUUAAUAAUGGUUUCCUAAUGUUGGAAAUGUAAAACAGCUCAGAGAUGCAAUGAUGUAGCUGCUUUUAUGUGGGACAAAAUCAGUGUUAAGAAAGUAUAAGCAGUCCAUCAGAUAAAUGUGUGAUUGGGCAAUGUUAAAGAUCUUGCCUAAAAUUUAAACUUGACCUAACACAGAGCCAUGUAACAAUAAAGAACAUAUUUUGUGAAGCAAACAAUAUACAAAUUUAAAAGGGUCAAAGAAAAAGCCUUGAAGGGUUUAUUAUCAAUCCACAUAUGAGAAAGUUAGUCAUUUGAUAACAGUAAACUGGGGAUUAGAUUAACAAAACACAACCACAUAAACCCUCUGCCUGAGAAGUACAAGACACAGGACAAGAGACAGGCCCCACUCCACAUGCCCCCACUUUUAAGGUCAGCACUGGACCUUUUGUGCACAUAGGACCAGGUGCAGCUCAUUGAGUGGACACAUCACUUGCAGAGUGUCAGACAACACAGAGGUAAACGGAACCCCUGGAAGAGGGCAAAGAUACAAAUGUAACAACUGUCUGAAUCAUUAGGAUGGUGCAUGUACCAUCUAUCUAUGAAUACAGAGGUCUAAAUGUAGAUUAUAUACACUCAGAUAUAUACAUUAGACUUAACAAUGUGUUUGCACGGUUAAGGAUUUUAUGUGAUGACCAUAGAAAUGUUUUGUUGCCGUUAAACUGUGUCUGAGAUGACAGAUUAAAAAAAAAAAAUUAUAGGAUAAGUCAUAUAGUAUGGAGUGCAUUGUCAAGUUUUAAUAUCCAUAAUAUCAAAAAGAUAAGCAAAUUUUAUCACCGAAGUGUGUGUGUGUGUGUGUGUGUGUGUGUGUGUGUGUGUGUGUGUGUGUGUGUGUGUGUGUGUCUGAGAGUGACUGGCUGUCUGUCUCACUACAUGCCCAGACUUGUCCCCACUUUGACACCUGAGAACAUCAUGAGCAUUGAUCUGACUCAUACCCUUUCAAGAUGCCAUUUUUAAGAUGCCACUUUGUUUCUUGUUUCUAUCACUAUUGUUUUCUGUUUCUGUUCAUCUUUCAUGUGUGUGUAUGUGUGUUAACAUGUUUGCAUUGUGAGGUUAGACAGCAGUGUGAGAAACACCCUCUGACCCAUUUCACUGACAGAUGCAACAAGAUUAAAGUUUUUUAUUUAUUUACUUAUUUUAAAAUUCAGACUAAAGGCCACCGUUGUUUGCUUUAUAAUGUUCAAUAAGAGACAUGUUGAGAACAUCAAACACAGUGGUCCCUAAAGAGAAAGCAGCUGCCCACUGGUGGCCCCUGACAGUACUGUGGCUUGGCAGUAAGAGCUACUUAAUAAAUAUGAACGUUUUAACUUCUAAUAUCCAAAUAAUUUGAUUGCAAUGAGAUUGCCAUUUUAGUGCUUCUUUGGAAUUGUUGGGUGUAUGUGAAUGGAUAUGUCUUAGUGCUGCAUGUAUAUUUCUGCAUAAAAUUUAACAGUGUAUUAAACGAAAUAAAUAAAUAAAUAAAUGGAGUACAUCUUCUUGAGUGUUGAUCAGAGCUUUUUGUUGUAAGUUUUCUAGAAUAUUUUUAGAUUUCAAAUAAUGCUGGGUCAUUCUCAUAACUCUUUCAAAGAGUUAUAUAAUAGUCUGAUUGACAGCUUGGAUUCAAAUUUCACUGGAAAAUGAAACGUCCACAUCAAUCAUGAAUAUGAGCUUCUGAAUAUUUAAUCAGGUAUACACAAUGAAAUCUAGUGUGUCUGUGUUUCUGUCUACCUGCCCACCUGCAGGUCUGUCUGGCUCGCUGUCUAUGAGGCAGAAAAAAAAGGAAAAAAGUGUCCCUGAUCCUGGCCACUAGGGGGGACAUGAAGGUCAGCCUGGUUUACCCUCUUUCAAAACCAAAUUUAAGCUCAAACGCUUACUUAUUUCCCAUUAAGGCAAGAAAGCAAUAAAAAAAGCUGUUAAGUCUUUUCUUGUAGUGUAAUUUUUAAAAAUCUGAAUUAUUUAGUCUAUCACGACCCUACUUGCUUGGCUAAUUGUGUAUUUACGUAGUUGAUGUAUAAGGUUCAAGGCAUGUGCUUUUAUUUUGAAGGACAUUUCACGUGCAGUAAAACGGAAAUCGUGCUAUACCGAAGGGAGUCGUUAAUUUAUGGCCUGAAAAAAGGAAAACAAUGUUGUUUUAUAUGAAACAGUUUACACAGUGUCAUUCGUGCAAACGUAUGUUACAUUUUCUAGUCUUGCCUAAUAAGAUGGUAAGACUCUGCAUGCCAGCAAAGAUGCUGUGUUGUUUAGUUCGAGAUUUAAUGUAGGCCUACGGUAUUUGGCGUGUUAAUGUUCCACUUGUCAGUACGAUCCCUUUCAUACAGUAACAGGAUGGUUGGAGCUACAGUGCUUAUCUGUCACCUACUGUGUGUUAAGUUAUGUUUAAUGUUAAUUCUGAAUUAAAUGUUAAUUUAGAUCCUCCCUGCAGCACUACUUCGGCUUGUCAGUUGAUCUAGGUUGUGGAAAAAUGUAACACCUGUUUUAUUCCCUUUUAUUUGUUCUUUCAGGGUGUUCAGAGCAUGUCUUGAAACUUUUGAAGUCAUAGUUUCUAUGAUUUAUUACUCGAAGACAGCCUGCUCCAUACUCUGAGGAGCCACUUUUCAAGCCCACUAAAGGUAAGUUUUCUGACUCAUCAGUUUUUAAUGUAGACUCUCUGUUUUACAGAACAAACAGGACCCUUUAAUACACCAGAUGAUCCAUAAUGUUUGUGGUCAAGCCUGAAAAUCACUUCUUUGAUGGAGCAAAUGCUAUGUAUCCCAAACAGAAAAGGCCAUUUUAAUGCACCACGGCCUCUCUAACUCUGACAGUGAAGCUAACAAAGAUAAAACUAUAAAAUAUCAGAUCUCUACUUUCUGAAGAGGGGUAUGCUAUGCUGCCUUUCAUGAAUCACUCAUUCUACAGAUAUGCCUGACAAUAAUUUACUAUAUCUGAGCCUUGGGUUGUAUUCAGAGGCUGGUUUUGUCAUCAUUUGCAUUUUAACAUCUGUCAAAAUGAUUUAAAAUACCAUUUUGUUGUAACUGGAACAUAACCUGCAACUUCAAUUUCCCUUUGGCUUUCUAAUGCUUCCAGUCACUUUCUCUAUACAGUACAAAAACUGCAAAGCUCGCGUUCUGCAUGUUCCCUGCAGAUUAUUACCAGAAGAUGAAGGAAACUGUUUUAUUUUUAGCAAAUGAAAUCCUAGCACAUUUGACAGAAGGAUAUUCCACUUCAAGAGGUGUUGAAAAGCUGUAUUUCCUGAGCAGCUAUCCCACAGUACUGAGACCUGUGGUCCUCUUUGGACUCUGGCUAAGCUAGGUGGUGACAGCGGCACUGUUGUAAGAGAAUUAUCACUUCAGUCCUGAAGGGAGGGGGGUGUUGUUGACCGAACAGGAUGUCCUGGUGUCUGGUCCCUUCUCAUACGGGCUAUUCUUUCUGUGUCUGUGUCUGUGGACAUUGGGGAAAAUCCUUCAAACAGAUGUGACCACGACUUGAAAAGAUUCCAUCCCUUUUUUAAUGUUGGGAUCUUCCUGAACCUUACAUUUUGCUAGAACAACUUUUCCCCUUCUAAAAAUGGAGUUUGCCAACACAUGUAUUAUGACAGAAAAUGCUCGACAGACACUAGAAAUGCAUUUGGGUGAUUGGUGCAUGUCGCUUUGUCUUUGCACUGCGUGUGGUAGAGAGCUGGAGUUAUGAGAUGAGCUCUUCUCUCUUUUUUUCUUUUUCUUUCUUCUGCCCUCUCUGCCUCUUUUCAUGCCCUGGGAAGGUAAACACUCAUCCUAUUUGCUCUUGUUUUUCUUAUAGUAACUGUUGAGCAGUGUGUGCUCCACUCAUGGUUUUAUUGCCUGGAUUGUCAUGCAAGAGGCAGGGGAGACAAGUGUCAAUAAGUGGAUGGGCUCAUUCCAAACAAACGCGCCCGGAGAAUGGGCAAAGAGAGCCCAGGAUGCAGCUGGGUACACACACACAGGCACACACACAGACACACACAAACACUCAGAGACUUGCAACAAAUUGUUCCUUUAUGUCUACACCCUGGAGACAUUAGUCCAACAUGACUAACACAAGAUACAGUAUCUGUACAGCUGAAGUAGCAAUAAAUUCCAUUUUAAAACACCUCUGGGACAAAAUGCUCUGCUAAAUUGUCUUACCAGUUGAACCUUUCACUAAGAAAGGAUCUAUCACAGUUCAGGUCUUUAAAGUAACAGGACCUAAAUCUGCUUACACUGCAGAGACACCUGAACUCUUUCAGUGCCCGUUUUUCAGCCAGCUGUACAAAAUGAAAACCACAGCUGCUGUGGGGAACGUUUGGUUUGUGUUGACUUUAUUGAGCCUAGAAAGUGCAGUGUGUCAUUCUCUGCGGGUCUUGACCUCUAUAUGCAUGAGUGUUCCUGUGGAAAAGUAUCUUCCUACUUUUAUACAGUCAAAAGUAACAGCUACUGUAGGGGCUGGAAAACACUGUGUGACUCCCAAUACAGUAUGACAUAAUUCUACACGACACAGUAAUGAUAAGACCCUUGUACAAUAGCAGUGCAAUAAUCAGCAC
RNAcentral lists this long non-coding RNA (8167 nucleotides) under Xyrichtys novacula (pearly razorfish). Lineage: Eukaryota; Metazoa; Chordata; Actinopteri; Labriformes; Labridae. The record is from RNAcentral.